CCUACGGGAGGCAGCAGUGAGGAAUAUUGGUCAAUGGCCGAGAGGCUGAACCAGCCAAGUCGCGUGAGGGAAGAAUGUCCUAUGGAUUGUAAACCUCUUUUGUCAGGGAGCAAAGUCACCCACGUGUGGGUGUGGGAGAGUACCUGAAGAAAAAGCAUCGGCUAACUCCGUGCCAGCAGCCGCGGUAAUACGGAGGAUGCGAGCGUUAUCCGGAUGUAUUGGGUUAAAGGGUUGCGUAGGCGGGUUAUCAAGUCAGCGGUAAAAUCGUGGAGCUCAACUCCAGCCAGCCGUUGAAACUGAUGAUCUUGAGUGGGCGAGAAGUAUGCGGAAUGCGUGGUGUAGCGGUGAAAUGCAUAGAUAUCACGCAGAACUCCGAUUGCGAAGGCAGCAUACCGGCGCCCGACUGACGCUGAAGCACGAAAGCGUGGGUAUCGAACAGGAUUAGAUACCCCUGUAGUC
Molecule: ribosomal RNA, 459 nt
Filed under: uncultured bacterium
Lineage: Bacteria
Description: partial 16S ribosomal RNA
Rfam family: Bacterial small subunit ribosomal RNA
Source: RNAcentral